RNAcentral lists this ribosomal RNA (467 nucleotides) under uncultured bacterium. RNAcentral's name for it is "partial 16S ribosomal RNA". It matches the Rfam family "Bacterial small subunit ribosomal RNA", at positions 28 to 507 of the family's 1533-position model. The record is from RNAcentral.
GAUGAACGCUGGCGGCGUGCUUAACACAUGCAAGUCGAACGGAAAGGCCCAAGCUUGCUUGGGUACUCGAGUGGCGAACGGGUGAGUAACACGUGGGUGAUCUGCCCUGCACUUCGGGAUAAGCCUGGGAAACUGGGUCUAAUACCGGAUAGGACCACUUCUUGGAUGUUGUGGUGGAAAGUUUUUUCGGUGUGGGAUGAGCUCGCGGCCUAUCAGCUUGUUGGUGGGGUAAUGGCCUACCAAGGCGUCGACGGGUAGCCGGCCUGAGAGGGUGUACGGCCACAUUGGGACUGAGAUACGGCCCAGACACCGACGGGAGGCAGAAGUGGGGAAUAUUGCACAAUGGGCGCAAGCCUGAUGCAGCGACGCCGCGUGGGGGAUGACGGCCUUCGGGUUGUAAACUCCUUUCGCUAGGGACGAAGCGUUUUGUGACGGUACCUGGAGAAGAAGCACCGGCUAACUACGUG